UCAAACGUACACAUAUAGAGGAAAAGCGCCGCGUCUCUGUCUCUCAGCGGUAUGGAUGUACGCGGAUCUGAGGCCUGCUGCACGCUUUGAUGUGUGUGGUGUUUAGGGUAAUGGAAGAACCAACGACUUCAGUAAACGAACAUGAACAUCAUCAGAUGUUUACAGGGCUCUUGCUGAUGGUGAUAUGAAGCAGAUCCAGAGAAAUGAGCCCUGAGGAUCCUGUGCUGUAAUCUGAGACGUCCGUCCGUCUGUCCAUGUGUGUUUGUGUGUGUGGGAUUAAUAUGACAACAGCACGCACACAUA
Long non-coding RNA from Sinocyclocheilus grahami, 303 nucleotides. RefSeq lists it as uncharacterized. The record is from RefSeq and is a predicted model, not a curated record. The transcript has 3 exons. Lineage: Eukaryota; Metazoa; Chordata; Actinopteri; Cypriniformes; Cyprinidae.